RNAcentral lists this ribosomal RNA (460 nucleotides) under uncultured bacterium. Its description in RNAcentral is "partial 16S ribosomal RNA". It matches the Rfam family "Bacterial small subunit ribosomal RNA", at positions 338 to 795 of the family's 1533-position model. The record is from RNAcentral.
CCUACGGGAGGCAGCAGUGAGGAAUAUUGGUCAAUGGACGAGAGUCUGAACCAGCCAAGCAGCGUGAAGGAUGACUGCCCUAUGGGCUGUAAACUCCUUUUAUAUGGGAAUAAAACAGGGUAUGUAUACCCUCUUGUAUGUACCAUAUGUAUACGGAUCGGCUAACCUCGUGCCAACAGCCUCGGUAAUACGGUGGAUGCCAGCGUUAUCCGGAUUUAUUUGGUUUAAAGGGAGCGGAGGUGGAUUGUUAAGUUAGUUGUGAAAGUUUACGGCUCAACCGUAGAAUUGCAGUUGAAACUGGCAGUCUUGAGUACAGUAGAGGUGAGCGGAAUUCGUGGUGUAGCGGUGAAAUGCGUAGAUAUCACGAAGAACUCCGAUUGCGAAGGCAGCUCACUGGACUGCAACUGACACUGAUGCUCGAAAGUGUGGGUAUCAAACAGGAUUAGAUACCCCGGUAGUC